CUCCAGUUUUUUCCUCCCCUGAUCAGAAUCUAUUGUUCGGUGCUCUAGAACAUUCUUCCGGGCUGCUGCUCCCAACGUGGACUGCACAGGAUGGCGAUGCCCAUCCGCCAGGGCCAGGAGCCAUUUCCCAGUGUCCCUUGGAGCUCCUUAUCCUUCCUGCCCCACCCAGCCCUGCCCCUCCACAGGCUCUCGGAAAAAACCCUCCUCCUUGCUAUCUCCAACCUCCUGGGUACCCAGCACUCAACCGCACAGCGCAAAGCGCUUCCUACCAGAGUCUCAGAGAGGUCGUCCGACUCGCCCGGGGUAACACAGCACCUCCCUGCAUUUAUGCUGACCGAUGGAAAGGGCCUGGGACACAAAGGGGAGGCCGUGGGAGACAUAAUUUCUGCACAUCGUCCCCAUUACCUGCCUGGCACUCCAGGUUUUUUGGCGGCGGGCGAGAAAACCUCAGGUUAUAACCUGAAUUAGAACCCAGCCGCGAGCAGUCAUCAAGCCAGGAGGGCCCUCUGGAGGAGGAGGCAGCCGGCCUGAAGCAGCCUCGGGGAGAGAAGAUAAUGAAGCAACAGGGUUUGCUUGCUGGGCGAAGCUUCCAGGCUCAACUGGCAGUCCUGGCCAUCUCAAAAUAACCCUGCUGGUUCGCGCCCUGUUCUUUCCCUCUCCACACGCACAGCGACCUCGCCGCGUGUAUUUACUCCCCUGUCAUUCCACGCCGGCAAGGAAGUUUCUGGUUUGUUCGACGCCCCGUGCCAAGUGUCAAUAAAUACCUGUUGCGGGGCCUGUGGCCCCAGCACCGGGCGCAAAGCCUGGUGGGCACAGAGACCCCCCCCCCCUGUCUCUGAUCAUGGGGCUGAGAGGGUUGGCUCCUGCUCACCCAUGGCCAAGCGCAAGGCCCCCCGUGAAUCGUGGUCAUUGUCCACCCCCACUGGCCCUGGGGAGGCCCAAGAGCCCUCAGCCGCUGCCCACGGGCCGGCAGAGCCUGGCAGGACCCCAGCUGAAUGUCCCAGCUCAGGGCCGGCCACACCCAAGGGGUCAGCCAACACCCACCCCUGCAGCGCAGGAGCCAAAACCAAAGCGCAAAAGAGGGACCCCCAGGAGGUCUGCGCUGGCAACUUGGAUUCAAGGAGGGCAGAAGGCCCGUGCGCCCCCCCACCUCACCCCCGCUUCUUGGCCGCGCCGGGAGGGGGGGGGGGGCCCAGCCUUCCCCCGAGGUUGGCCUGGGUCCCCGGGAGUGGGGAGCAGCUGUGCCUACUUUGUUUUUCUGGGUUAUUUUUGGGGCGGUUUCCGGCCCCCUCCCCAGUGCCCUGCGGUCUCGCCGUUUCCAGGAAGUCCCCUGCCACCUCAAGGGGGGCGUCCGGGGUGGGGGGGGAGAGCCCCUGCGCCCCGGGGCCGUGGCAGCCAGGGAGGAACCCGUGGGAGAGAUCUGGAGCACCCACGGCGGCGAGGGCGCAGCAGGAGACGCUGUCUUCCAGCCAUCGGCUGGGCCAGGACUUCAGAGUUUGGGGACAUCGAGGCGGGGCCCCAAGGUUCUCUGCCAAAAAAGAUUGGAGCCACGGUUGUGACCUCUCUACACAUGCCUCUUCUGUCCCUUUUACUGAACCUGUGAUUGGCACUGUCUGGACUGUCCAUGUGCCAGCUGGGCCCUGAGCCUCAGCAGAGUUGCAGCUCCUACUCCUUGGGUCGUUGGACCUACCCAGGUCAGCUGACGGGGAGGUGAGGAUGGUCAACCACACACCAGGGAACCGAGAGAGUCCACAACUGCAAGCAGGAGAAUCCCAUCCAUCGCCCAUGUGGGAUCUAAGCCCCCUCUCAAUUUAGAGGUGGAGUGGAUAUCUCCAUCCCAGGGUCCACAGGAUGGAGGAAUAAAAUAUGGAUUAGAGUGGACUUACUGGUAUUCCACUAUAGAACUAUUGUGACUAGUAAUGGAAGAAACUGUAUCGCUGAUGUGGAGACAGUGGCCAUGGAAGGUGCUGAGGGCAGGGAGAGGGAAGAAGAGAUGAGAUGUGGGGGCAUUUUCGGGACUUGGAGUUGUCCUGAAUGAUUUUGCAGGGACGGAUGCAGGACAUUCUAUAUCCUGCCAUAACCCGCUGAAUGGACUGGGGGAGAGUGUCAACUACAAUGUAAGCUAUGGUCCAUGCGGUGCAGCAGUGCUCCAAAAUGUAGUCACCAAAUGCAGUGAAUGUGCCACGAUGAUGAAAGAGGUUGUUGAUGUGGGAGGAGUGGGGGGAGG
Molecule: long non-coding RNA, 2227 nt
Filed under: Dasypus novemcinctus (nine-banded armadillo)
Lineage: Eukaryota; Metazoa; Chordata; Mammalia; Cingulata; Dasypodidae
Description: lncRNA (ENSDNOG00000051182.1)
Source: RNAcentral